RNAcentral lists this ribosomal RNA (251 nucleotides) under uncultured prokaryote. Its description in RNAcentral is "partial 16S rRNA". It matches the Rfam family "Bacterial small subunit ribosomal RNA", at positions 525 to 775 of the family's 1533-position model. The record is from RNAcentral.
ACGGAGGGUGCAAGCGUUAUUCGGAAUUACUGGGCGUAAAGCGCGUGUAGGCGGUCCUGCAAGUCUGAUGUGAAAGCCCCGGGCUUAACCCGGGAAGUGCAUUGGAAACUGUGGGACUUGAGUACGGGAGAGGAUAGUGGAAUUCCCGGUGUAGGGGUGAAAUUCGUAGAGAUUAGGAGGAAUAUCAGUGGCGAAGGCGGCUAUCUGGACGGUAACUGACGCUGAGACGCGAAAGCGUGGGGAGCAAACAG